This 497-nucleotide ribosomal RNA is filed under the name uncultured bacterium. RNAcentral describes it as "partial 16S ribosomal RNA". It matches the Rfam family "Bacterial small subunit ribosomal RNA", at positions 28 to 507 of the family's 1533-position model. The record is from RNAcentral.
GAUGAACGCUGGCGGCGUGCCUAAUACAUGCAAGUCGAGCGAACAGACGAGGAGCUUACUCCUCUGACGUUAGCGGCGGACGGGUGAGUAACACGUGGAUAACCUACCUAUAAGACUGGGAUAACUUCGGGAAACCGGAGCUAAUACCGGAUAACAUGUUGAACCGCAUGGUUCAACAGUGAAAGACGGUCUUGCUGUCACUUAUAGAUGGAUCCGCGUCGCAUUAGCUAGUUGGUAAGGUAACGGCUUACCAAGGCAACGAUGCGUAGCCGACCUGAGAGGGUGAUCGGCCACACUGGAACUGAGACACGGUCCAGACUCCUACGGGAGGCAGCAGUAGAGAAUCUUCCGCAAUGGGCGAAAGCCUGACGGAGCAACGCCGCGUGAGUGAAGAAGGUCUUCGGAUCGUAAAACUCUGUUAUUAGGGAAGAACAAAUGUGUAAGUAACUAUGCACGUCUUGACGGUACCUAAUCAGAAAGCCACGGCUAACUACGUG